ACUUGGAGUUGACUCAGACUUUGUCUCGCCUGAUCUUCGAUCACUUUCUUUCAAAACCAUCUGAAAUUUCUUAAAAAAAAAAAAAAAAGAAAACCAACUCAUUGAGAUUAGUGUUUCCUGCUGCGAAGGAAGAAAUCUAGAAAUGGCAGAAGGCUUCCUGUUCAAUUUUGCUGAACGACUCUUGGUGGGUCUGGCAUCAUUGGCUCACCAAGAACUUGGUUUGCCCUGGCGUAUCAAAGAAGAAAUCACCAAGCUCAAAGACACUUUUUCCUUGAUCAAAGGUGUGCUUCGUGAUGCUGAGGAGAAACAAAGAAACCACAACCAUGAAGUGACGGUCUGGCUCGGACAGCUCAAAGAUGUGCUUUACGACGUGGAUGACUUGCUCGACGAUUUUUCCACUGAAGCUUUGCGGCGACAGAUACUGAGGCGGAAUGAAAUGGUUAAAAAGGUACGCGUUUUCUUCUCCAAAUCAAACCAGCUUGCAUAUAGUCUCAAGAUGGGUCAUAGAGUUAGUGCCAUUAGAAAGAGGCUAGAUAAAAUUGCAGCUGAUAGAACCAAAUUUCACUUUACCGACAGCCCGGUAGAGUCACUGCUUGAAGUUAAGGAGAGGGAUCAAACUUAUUCCUUUGUGCGUGAAGAAGAAAUAAUUGGAAGAGAUGAUGAUAAAAAGAAAAUUGUAAAACUAUUGCUACAAUCCGAACUCGAAGAAAAUGUUUCAAUUGUUCCCAUAAUAGGGAUUGGAGGAUUAGGAAAGACUACAUUAGCUAAAAUGGUGUUCAACGAUAAAAAUGUUGGAGAACAUUUCCAGCUAAAAUUGUGGGUUUGUGUCUCAGAGAAGUUUGAGCUAAAACUCAUUGUGGAAAAAAUCAUUGAGGCUGCAACUGGAAGCAAACCUGAAAGGGACCUCCAGAUGGAAACGCUGCAAAAUAUUCUUCGAGACAAAAUUAAUGGAAAGAAGUACUUGCUAGUCCUAGAUGAUGUAUGGAAUGAGGUCCGUGAAAAGUGGCUCAAUUUGAGAAAUUUGCUAUUAGGUGGUGCAAGGGGAAGUUGGAUUGUUAUCACUACUCGUAGUGGGCUGGUUGCAGAAAUCACAAGCACAGUUUUACCACAUGAGCUUGAAGGAUUGUCAAAAAGCCAAUCAUGGUCACUAUUGAAGCAAAUGGCAUUUAAAGAACAAAGCCACGAAUCUAAUGCUUCACACUUUGAAGCAAUUGGAAUGGAGAUUGUAGAGAAGUGUAAAGGGGUCCCUCUUGCCUUAAGGGCGAUAGGAAGUGUACUAUUUACAAGAACAGAAGCUGAAUGGGUAAAGGUGAAGAAUAAUAUAGUUAAGUAUAUAACUCAACAAGAAAGUGGUAUUAUGCCAGUUUUAAAGUUGAGUUAUGAUCAUCUUCCACCACAUUUGAGGCAAUGUUUUGCUUAUUGCUCUUUAAUUCUGAAGGACACUGAGUUUUGGGUUGAGGAUUUGAUCAUGUAUUGGAUGGCCCAAGGGUUUAUCCAGCCACUAAGUGGAGACCAAGAUCUAGAAGAUGUUGGGCAUGAGUAUUUCAUGGAUUUGCUUUGGAAAUCUUUUUUUCAGGUUGCAGAAGAAGAUGAUUCGGGAAAUGUGAAGAGAUUCACAAUGCACGAUCUAAUGCAUGAUCUUGCAUGCUCUGUUGCUGGGACUGAGUACUGCAUUGCAAGUCUAGAAGCAGAAAAUGCAGAUGAAAGAACUCGCCAUGUGUUAUUUGAAGAUGAAUUAGAUGCUUCUUGGAAAAUUCUAAGCACUUUGCACAAAGCAAAGAAACUAAGGACAAUAUUUCUUCCGGAUGGCAGCUUGAAUCAAUCCAUUUGCAAUGCACUUAUUUCUAAUUUUAGGUACCUACGCUCUUUGAAUUUGAGUUUCUCAGGUAUUGAGAGGUUACCGCAUUCCAUAGGCAAAUUGAAACAUUUAAGGGGUCUUUAUCUUAUUGGAAAUGAAAAUCUUAAAAAACUGCCUAGUUCUUUGUGUAGGCUACAGAAUUUGCAAACAUUACGUCUUUCUGGUUGCUCGGAUCUUGAAAAAUUGCCGAGGAAAACAAGAAGGUUAGUUAGCCUCAGAUAUCUAUAUAUUGAUGGUUGUGGUAGUUUGGCUUACAUGCCACGUGGACUAGGGCUACUAACUUGUCUGCGAACGUUAAAUGAGUUUAUUGUGGGAAAGAGAGGCAAGGGUGUUGGUGAGUUAAGGGAAUUGAAUGGACUGAACAACCUCAAAGGAAAAAUACGUAUUUCUUCUUUAAAAAAUGCUAUUCCAGAGCCUGGGUCUUCUUACUUGAAAGAAAAAUUGAAUUUGAAACACUUGAAAUUGAGCUGGAGAAAUGAGGAGAAUGAUGAGGAUGAUGAGGAGGAGGAGGAGGAGGAUGAUGCAAGUAAUGAGAAGUCUGAAUUGGUUUUUGAAGGCCUCGAGCCACACCCAAAUCUAGAGAUGCUUGUGGUGUAUGGGUAUCCAGGAAGCAAGAUUUGUAGCUGGCUGUCCUCCAUCACCAAUUUAACUCGACUUAUUUUAGAGGAUUGUGUUGAAUGCAAGCAUCUGCCACCACUGCAUCAGCUCGCUUCCCUGAAAUUUCUUAGGCUUUCAGGAUUAAAAGUUUUGGAGAAUGUGUCUGAGAUUGAAAUGCAAAAGGAGUUGUCUUCUUCAAAAUCAACAAAAUUUUUUCCAUCCUUAGAGGAACUCAACCUCAUGAAUUGCCCAAAUCUUAAGGGAUGGUGGAGCGGUGAUGUUGAUGAAGCUUCAAACGCACAGCUGCCUUACUUCCCUUGCCUUUCAGAUUUGACAAUACGAUGGUGCCCUAAUCUAACCUCUAUGCCGCUGUUUCCUUCUGUUCGGGAGCUGCAUUUGAAUGAAACCAGCUGGAAGCAACUUCAAGAGACAAUGAAAUUGAAGAUGACAACAUCAGAAGAACCAUCAUCUUCUUCACUUUUCCCUCCUUUCUCCAAAUUGACAAAAAUGUGGUUUGUAGAUAUCGAAGAACUAGAUUCUCUGCCAGAGGAGUUUCUACAAAACCUAACUUCUCUUUGGUCUCUGUACAUUGCAAGUUGCAGUAACUUGACAUCAAUGCCAAAGGGGAUGCACUUUCUCACCUCUUUACAAGAAUUGAGUAUUUGGGGAUGUCCCCAGCUAUCGGAAAGAUGCCAAAGGGAUAUUGGUGUGGACUGGCCAAAUAUUGCUCACAUUGAAAAUAUUUGUAUUGAUGGACGUGUGAUUUGAUCAAAUCAGGUUCACGCAUUUAGGAACCUUCCAUCGCUUACACAGUGUAUCAAUUUGUGACAGAUUAUGUCAAGGCUUAGAACAGAGUGAAACUUGAUGCCCCAGCUGCACUUGAAUUCAAGAAAUACUAUCAUCCAAUUCUGAUGCUGUACUAUUUGAAAUACAUUUGAGUGUUAUCUGAUUGCAUUUGUAAUUUUUAUUUUGUAAUAUGUAAUUAAAUUAAAAAUACAAAAAAAAAAGUGUCCUAAUAUGUAAGUAGUAUUGAAAUAUUCGAAACUUUUUGAAUUGGUGAUGUAAUUAGGCGU
Durio zibethinus is the source of this 3528-nucleotide non-coding RNA. Lineage: Eukaryota; Viridiplantae; Streptophyta; Magnoliopsida; Malvales; Malvaceae. The record is from RefSeq and is a predicted model, not a curated record.